GUUAUAGCUUUGCUGUAACAUUAUCAAAGAGGGAAAUGAGCAUAUUAGUUUUGAAGUACUUGCCCGAAAGCAAAAUAUUGGGCCUAUUUCUCUCAUCUAGAACAAAUAUGUUUGUACUGUCUCCAACCAUAAAAAAAGGGAAACUGUAACCUUUUCCAUUUCAAAGAAAAGAGAAGACUUACUAAGCUAGCAUGAGAACAUUUUCUAACAUCAACUCUAUAAUGAGUACCUACAUGCCUACCAUUUAACUUACCGCAUCUUCUCCCGAUAUUGCACGCUCCU
This 282-nucleotide unclassified non-coding RNA is filed under the name Hevea brasiliensis (rubber tree). Lineage: Eukaryota; Viridiplantae; Streptophyta; Magnoliopsida; Malpighiales; Euphorbiaceae. The record is from RNAcentral.